GACGAACGCUGGCGGCGUGCCUAAUACAUGCAAGUCGAGCGGACCAAACAGGAGCUUGCUCUUGUUUGGUUAGCGGCGGACGGGUGAGUAACACGUGGGUAACCUGCCCGUAAGACCGGGAUAACUCCGGGAAACCGGAGCUAAUACCGGAUAACACCGAAGACCGCAUGGUCUUUGGUUGAAAGGCGGCUUCGGCUGCCACUUACGGAUGGGCCCGCGGCGCAUUAGCUAGUUGGUGAGGUAACGGCUCACCAAGGCGACGAUGCGUAGCCGGCCUGAGAGGGUGACCGGCCACACUGGGACUGAGACGCGGCCCAGACUCCUACGGGAGGCAGCAGUAGGGAAUCUUCCGCAAUGGACGAAAGUCUGACGGAGCGACGCCGCGUGAGCGAAGAAGGUCUUCGGAUCGUAAAGCUCUGUUGUUAGGGAAGAAGAAGCGCCGUUCGAACAGGGCGGCGCGGUGACGGUACCUAACGAGAAAGCCCCGGCUAACUACGUG
RNAcentral lists this ribosomal RNA (499 nucleotides) under uncultured bacterium. RNAcentral describes it as "partial 16S ribosomal RNA". It matches the Rfam family "Bacterial small subunit ribosomal RNA", at positions 28 to 507 of the family's 1533-position model. The record is from RNAcentral.